RNAcentral lists this unclassified non-coding RNA (375 nucleotides) under soil metagenome. Its description in RNAcentral is "partial contains 5.8S ribosomal RNA, internal transcribed spacer 2, and large subunit ribosomal RNA". The stretch from base 1 to 120 matches the Rfam family "5.8S ribosomal RNA", at positions 35 to 154 of the family's 154-position model. The record is from RNAcentral.
GAUUAAGAACGCAGCGAAAUGCGAUAAGUAAUGUGAAUUGCAGAAUUCAGUGAAUCAUCGAAUCUUUGAACGCAUCUUGCGCUCCUUGGUAUUCUGAGGAGCAUGCCUGUUUGAGUGUCAUUAAAUUCUCAACUACACUGACUUUGAAUUGGUGUGGCUUGGAUUUGGGGGGAAAAUUGUUGUGGGCUUUUUGUAUAGUCUGCUCCCCUGAAAUUGAUUAGCGGUACCUUUGUGGAACUGUCUACAGGUGUGAUAAUUAUCUACAUCUUAGACAUCUGCUGGAAUGCUGCUUUCUAAACCUUACUUGUAUUGACAAUCUUGACCUCAAAUCAGGUAGGACUACCCGCUGAACUUAAGCAUAUCAUAAGCGGAGGA